Molecule: long non-coding RNA, 896 nt
Filed under: Vulpes vulpes (red fox)
Lineage: Eukaryota; Metazoa; Chordata; Mammalia; Carnivora; Canidae
Description: lncRNA (ENSVVUG00000008669.1)
Source: RNAcentral
AAGACACAAUAGUCAGGAGAGCAUUUUAUAAAACAUACAAUGUCACACAAACAUAAGCAACAGUUUUUAUUAUUGCCCUGGGCCCCAAGUCUAGAGUCAAUAACUUGACAAAAGUCAUGGGCUCCUUGGAAGGGUGACAAGCAUACCUGGGCCUAUCCCUCAUGUUGGUUAACCUCACAGCAUGCCAGAGGUCAUGUUUACAGCACAACAUCAAUUGGAACAAUAAUACUACAUUCCAGGGUUGCUGGGAAGCCUGAAAUUCUACAUAGAUAUCUGUGAUACAAUGGGAUGUAAAUCAAGAAAAUUCUAUUCACCACUUUGGUUUGGUGUAAGAAUAAAAUAUAUUAAAGCCAAAGUUCAAAAAAAACAAAAAACAAAACAAAAAAAAAGCCAAAGUUCUUGUAGCUGUUCUUGGCAAUAGUAUACACUCAGUAAAUAGUAGUAAUCGUUAUUUUUCCUUUUUGUUUGCUAAAGUAAAAAAUUAAUCUCUGUUAUAUACCCCUGCUCUGCGUGUUAUAGAGAUGCAAUAGUGUAAUAAGUCUCAAAACAUUUAGAGAAGCUACUCACAUGUAAAAAAGUUUCCUCUGAUCCUUACUCAGACCUUGCCUCUGCCACAUUCUGGGGGACAUGACCACUAGAUCGAAGCUGUGUGGCUCUGAACAGGCAGGCUUGCAACAGACUGUGGAGGAGUUGACCAACAGCCAAGAAGGUAACUACUCACUCCAGCCUCAUCCACAGAAGGAGAAGAAUGGAAUUCUGCUUGCUGAGGAGCUUCCAGAACUAACAUUCUAAUUCAUGCCAAAUACCAAGGGCACUGCCUCUUGUGGUUUCCUGAAGCUCCUGAGCUGCCUUUUCUCACCACUGGGAUUUUCAGGUCCACUAUCACUUUAGGUGCU